Pogonomyrmex barbatus (red harvester ant) is the source of this 262-nucleotide long non-coding RNA. The record is from RefSeq and is a predicted model, not a curated record. Lineage: Eukaryota; Metazoa; Arthropoda; Insecta; Hymenoptera; Formicidae.
UACUUUUCUAAAGGCAGUUUGAACCAGUUUCGUGCAAUGUUGUUAAGUGCGAUUAAAAAAAAAAAGAAAGAUUUGUCAGAAUUAUCAGAAGGAUUUGUCAAAAACGUCUAAGUGUACAAAAUAUAUUUGAAACACUAAUUGUCUAAACAUUUGAUUUCUACACAUUCAGUCAUUUAAACUAAAGGACUACAUCCAAAUUUCCAAAAACUCGCAAAUCCAAAGAAAUCAAUAUUCCUAUCGCCUGAUUUAUCAGCGCCAAAAA